UUGAUCUUCUAUUUACAGAGAUACAUUGAGAUGAAGAGACUGCUUCGUGUCAUAUUCCUCCUGAACAUUUUCUCAUGUCUGUCUCACGCGGUGACCGUGACUCAGAAUAAAGCCUUUACAUUGCUGACUGUUGGAGGCAGUAUGGAAGAAAUGUCCUGUACGCAUGAUGGCACCGGCAGCUACUAUAUGUACUGGUACCGGCAGGAACCAGGAGAAGGCUUGGUGCUAAUUGCAAUGUCGCUAACAGAGAAUGAUGCCAAGCCAGAAGAAGAAUUUAAAGAAACCUGGACAAUGACUCGUCCAAGUGAUGAGAAAUCUACGCUAAAAAGGAAUGGAGCAGUGAACAUCACAGACUCGGCUAUGUAUUACUGUGCAGCCAGUUUACACAGUCGUAGGAAGCUGAGACACAGCUGGCACCAAACAUGAAGUGUAUUAAUUUGGAGUCGAAAAUGCUAACAACAAAUUCACCUGCGGGAGGCAAUAGUGUUGUGUCAUUCUUCCGCUGGGGAGCAAAAUGUAUCGUACAUUCUAGAACUCUUUUGGAAUGUGU
Non-coding RNA from Pelobates fuscus (common spadefoot toad), 550 nucleotides. The record is from the annotation of a RefSeq genome assembly. Lineage: Eukaryota; Metazoa; Chordata; Amphibia; Anura; Pelobatidae.